RNAcentral lists this ribosomal RNA (1403 nucleotides) under uncultured bacterium. Its description in RNAcentral is "16S ribosomal RNA". It matches the Rfam family "Bacterial small subunit ribosomal RNA". The record is from RNAcentral.
AGUCGCGCGUGAAAGCCUUAGGGCAAGUAAAGCGGCGAACGGGUGAGUAACACGUAACCAACCUGCCCCCGAGAUCGGGAUAACCACUGGAAACGGUGGCUAAUACCGGAUGAUCCCUGAAGCCGGCAUCGGCUUUCGGGUAAAUGGCUUCGGCUGUUCGGGGAGGGGGUUGCGGCCUAUCAGCUUGUUGGUGGGGUAACGGCCUACCAAGGCGAUGACGGGUAGCGGGUCUGAGAGGAUGAUCCGUCACACUGGGACUGAGACACUGCCCAGACUCCUACGGGAGGCUGCAGUCGAGAAUCUUCCGCAAUGGGCGCAAGCCUGACGGAGCGACGCCGCGUGGGUGAUGAAGGCCUUCGGGUUGUAAAGCCCUGUUAGCUGUUAUGAACCGCGGGUGGUGAACAACCAUCCCGUCUGACGUAAGCAGCAAAGAAAGCACCGGCUAACUACGUGCCAGCAGCCGCGGUAAUACGUAGGGUGCAAACGUUGUUCGGAAUCACUGGGCAUAAAGCGCGCGUAGGCGGUCUGAUAAGUCCUGUGUGAAAGCCCCCGGCUUAACCGGGGAAUUGCACAGGAUACUGUCGGGCUAGAGUACAGGAGGGGAGAGCGGAAUUCCUGGUGGAGCGGUGAAAUGCGUAGAUAUCAGGAGGAACGCCGGUGGCGAAAGCGGCUCUCUGGUCUGUUACUGACGCUGAGGUGCGAAAGCUAGGGGAGCAAACGGGAUUAGAUACCCCGGUAGUCCUAGCCCUAAACGAUGGGUACUAAGUAGGGGAAACUCCGAAGUUUUCCCUGCCGGAGCUAAUGUAUUAAGUACCCCGCCUGGGGAGUAUGGUCGCAAGGCUAAAACUCAAAGGAAUUGACGGGGGCCCGCACAAGCGGUGGAGCAUGUGGUUUAAUUCGAUGCAACGCGAAGAACCUUACCUGCCCUUGACAUCCUCGGAACUUGGCAGAGAUGCCUUGGUGCCUUCGGGAACCGAGUGACAGGUGCUGCAUGGCUGUCGUCAGCUCGUGUCGUGAGAUGUUGGGUUAAGUCCCGUAACGAGCGCAACCCUUGUCCUUAGUUGCCAGCACGUAAUGGUGGGAACUCUAAGGAGACUGCCGGUGACAAACCGGAGGAAGGUGGGGAUGACGUCAAGUCAUCAUGGCCCUUACGGGCAGGGCGACACACGUGGCUACAAUGGCCGGUACAGAGGGUUGCCAAGCAGCGAUGCGGAGCUAAUCCCAGAAAGCCGGUCGUAGUCCGGAUUGGAGUCUGCAACUCGACUCCAUGAAGUCGGAAUCGCUAGUAAUCGCGAAUCAGAACGUCGCGGUGAAUACGUUCCCGGGCCUUGUACACACCGCCCGUCACACCAUGGGAGCUGGUGCACCAGAAGCAGGUUGCUUAACUUCGGGGGGGCGCUACC